AUUCCAGCUCCAAUAGCGUAUAUUAAAGUUGUUGUGGUUAAAAAGCUCGUAGUUGGAUCUCGGCGGUCUGAGGGCGGUUCGCUUCAGAGCGCUACUGCCCUAUAGACCGUAGUUUUGCCAGAGGUCUCAGGGUGCUCUUAACCGAGUGUCUUGCGAUGCUGGCAGGUUUACUUUGAAAAAAUUAGAGUGCUCAAAGCAGGCUUUUACGCCUGAAUAUUCGUGCAUGGAAUAAUAGAAUAGGAAGUCGUUUCUAUUUUGUUGGUUUUCGGAAAUCGACUCAAUGAUUAAUAGGGACAGUUGGGGGUAUUUGUAUUCCAUAGUCAGAGGUGAAAUUCUUGGAUUUAUGGAAGACAAACUAAUGCGAAAGCAUCUACCAAGGAUGUUUUCAUCA
RNAcentral lists this ribosomal RNA (391 nucleotides) under Pseudocalanus sp. RNAcentral's name for it is "partial small subunit ribosomal RNA". It matches the Rfam family "Eukaryotic small subunit ribosomal RNA", at positions 582 to 975 of the family's 1831-position model. Lineage: Eukaryota; Metazoa; Arthropoda; Copepoda; Calanoida; Clausocalanidae. The record is from RNAcentral.